This 468-nucleotide long non-coding RNA is filed under the name Manihot esculenta (cassava). RNAcentral's name for it is "long non-coding RNA (MESC_LNC006418)". The record is from RNAcentral. Lineage: Eukaryota; Viridiplantae; Streptophyta; Magnoliopsida; Malpighiales; Euphorbiaceae.
CACAAUAUAACAAGCAAUCAAGAUAGAUAUACAAACUAGCACAUCAAAUAUAAUUAUGGGUCAGUAAUAUUAAAAGAGUCCUGAACUGAGAUGACCAGUGGUAGUAGGUGUAGGAUUAGUAGCUAGAGAACUCUAGCAAAUCCCUAUCAAAAAACAACUUGUGGAAAUGUAAAGAGACAACAGAAAGAGAAACUUAUAGUUGUUGGUGUUGUAUCCAACAUUCAAGAAAGAAAGAAAAAGGAGAAAAAGGAAAGAGUUUUCUAUGUGGGUAUGAUUAAUUAUAGAGAUUUCUCAAUUGGAAUAAAAGUGAGUAUUCUCUUCUUCAAUAGUUACAGGAUGAUACCUUUAUGAAGUCUCUGCAACUAAGUGCGAAGAAAACUGAGUCUUGGUGUUGGGAAGAAGAGAGAGGGGGUUUCGUGGGUAAUGAACAAGUGGAAUAUAAUUCCAGGUCAACUACCAUCUGGGAAA